This 253-nucleotide ribosomal RNA is filed under the name uncultured bacterium. RNAcentral's name for it is "partial 16S ribosomal RNA". It matches the Rfam family "Bacterial small subunit ribosomal RNA", at positions 524 to 776 of the family's 1533-position model. The record is from RNAcentral.
UACGGAGGGUGCAAGCGUUAUCCGGAUUCACUGGGUUUAAAGGGUGCGUAGGAGGGCAGGUAAGUCCGUGGUGAAAUCCUAGAGCUUAACUCUAGAACUGCCGUGGAUACUAUCUGUCUUGAAUCCCGUGGAGAUGAGCGGAAUAUGUCAUGUAGCGGUGAAAUGCUUAGAUAUGACAUAGAACACCAAUUGCGAAGGCAGCUUACUACCCGAAUAUUGACACUGAGGCACGAAAGCGUGGGGAUCAAACAGG